GAGAAAGAUCAAGACCAAAAAUUGUAGUUAGAUUUAGGAAGGAGGAGGUAACGGAACUUCAAAAGCAAAAUUUCGGGGAGCUAGAAAGGGAAAAUGGAGUCAGGAGGAGCCUUGUCGAAAAACUGGAAGAUGUGAAGGCUCUUACCCUGAGAGAAAAAGGAGGAUUUUGAACAGAGAAGUGAUGUGAUCUAAGUUUUAAAAGAAUAAGUCUGACUGCUGCAUUGUGAAGAGACCGUAUGUGGGGCAAGAGAGGAAGCCAGGAGACCAUAGGAGGUGAGAAAAAGGGCGUUGCGGAUCCUUUGGAGCCAAGGACUGGAACUGCCAUGCAAGACCUCUACCAACUGAGGGUUUCAUGAGCGCACUCCCUUGCCAAGAUCUUGGUGAAUAGUCUUUUACUGUGCAAUUGUGUCUUAGACAUUGUUUUACUUGUUAUCAUGAUUGUGCUUGGCUGGAUGCUUUUUGUUGGACUUGCAUGUUACAUGGGCACAUUUCCAGAGUUCACGCCUCCAACUCUGAAGUGGAAAGAGAAGUGGCCUGUUCAGGAGAGCAAGACACGACUGAGGAGCCUGGCUUUGGAUGAAGAACCACAACUAUGAGAACCAUGUGGAAAGGAUAUAAGUAUCCCCCAGGAGGGACCCCGGUGGAAGUAAGCAAAGAUGAUCCUGGUGAAGUCAUGCAGCUCUGAAGCUCACCUGGCCUGCUGUAGAGUUCCUGUUGUUGGUUUCGCAUAAAAAAAGUGAAUUCAAAAUCCAUUAGCAACACUGGAAUCCUAAAACCAGGAUACUAUCUCUUAUAAGGCUUCUUAUAUGACUUAGACUCAACACAUCCCAUUGAGCUAAGUGCCUACAUUUUCUGGCUCCAUGGCUAUACCAACUUGCCUCUUGAAUAUCCCAAAGGACUCAUCUUGUCAGUUGUUUCAAGCUCUUUUAUUACAGGGGAUCAGAACCUGUGCUCGUUUUCUUGACAAGAGGAACUAUACACCCAGUUCUUCUUCCCUCUGGUUCCCUGAAUAUACCUGCAAACAGUUCUCCGGCCUUCAGAGUAGCUCUCUUAAGCUGGUGGGGUGCGGGGAGAUGGGUCAGUUGUAGGGGUUGAGCAGAGGUCAAUACGUCAGAGGGAAUGAACAGGUGUGUGUGUGUAUGUGUCUGUGAGAGUGUGUGUGUGUGUGUGUGUGUGUAAGGAAGCACACCCCAUGUCAAGUCUGAUGAGUCAGUCUACUGAGGUUUCUAGCUGGAAAAAUGUUCAGGGUGAUGAAAGAAGGAAUAUCUGAGUUUUGGUAAAUAAAUGCAAACCAGUGAAAAUAUCAAUAAAAUAUUUUUAAUGCCUACAAUUUCUUUUAUACAUAAAUUGCAAAACUUUCACCUGUAUAUGCAAAAGUAGAUUCUCUUGCAGGUCAACAGCACCAGAAAACAAGCUAAACUAUGUAAAUGUUUUUUUUUUUUUUUUAAAACUUGAUUUGUCCAUUAUGUAAAAGACAUGAUGGAUUUAAUAACUUCAAAGAAAUCUAUAUCCCACUCUUAAUCAUACACUAAACACCUGAAUAUUUAUUUUAUCACAUCCACUCACAAAAUAAAUAGUAGUCUAAUAUAUUCAGCACAUUGAAAAUAAACCAACCAGUUUCUCUUCAUAUAUUUAUUCUCUUUCCAAACAUGUUUUGGUCUCCUGCUAUAUCUCAGAAAUGUACUAAUAGCUGCUUUUAAGUUACAAAAUACAAAACAGUAAUUUCUUGGAGAAAAUCUUGGGGUAACAUUAAAAAAAUGAUAUUUCGAGUUCCCAUAGACUUUCUUUUUUGUUAACAGUCUUUGAACCUUCUCAUGGCACACAUGUAAGGCUGUCUGUGACAUGUGGUACCCUGGCCUCCAAAUGGACGUAAUUGCAUUUAUAGUUUAGAGAAAAUACAAAGACAAGUUUUUGAAAGUAGCCUUAAAAGAAGAGUGCCCCUUGCUUUGACAUAGCAAUAUCAAAAGCAAGUGGGACUGUGCAAUCAGAGCCAUAUGAGUUUUAUGAAAACUACUUUCUUUUCACAUCAUCUGUUAGAGAAUGCCACACCCAUGAUCAUGUAACAUUACAAUCGUGAAAUAACAUUACUACAUUCGUGAAUUAACAUUACCCAAUAAAAGGCACAUCUUCAGAUAGUGAAUUCAUAAAAUCUGAAAAUCAAAACAGUAGAGGAUACAUUAAAAACCAAGCACUUAAUUUGUAAACCUUUAUAAAAUAACAGCUUAUUCCAGUUUCUUCAAAGGUUUGUGAGCUUUUUGUAAGAGCCGUCAGGAAUUGCAGAACAAAACGGAAGACAGGAUUUGGAAACAAGGCCAAGAUUAAAAGACUUUCUCAGGACUUUCUUUUUAAAUGAGCUACAGAAGUGCCCUUUUAUAAUGUUGAUGCCGAGGAAUAAUAUAAUCAACAUCUGUAGAAGAAAUGCACUCAAAAGUGGUAGAUGCCUAAGGACACGACCUGACUCUUCCUAUGAAGUUCUAGAACUUUUAUCUAGCACAGUGGUGCCUUUCUGUACAAAUAACUGCACGUCGAGUAAAGUGCUAGUAAACGUUAAGCCACCAGAAAUCUUUCAGCUAUGAUAAGCACUUGAUUGUAAUAGAUUUUCAAAGAGUCUAAAUGCUGAAAAAAUAUAGCCCAGAAAACAACUUUUGUAGGGGUGGGGCGGGAGGAAGCACAAAAGUGACAGCAAAGGAAAUAAUGUUCCAAACCUGUUUUAUUACGUGGAACACCACACUACCCUUAAAUCAAUUUCACUGAAGAUAUUUUGAGAUGGGUGAGAGGCAGUCAACAGGAUUUUCUGCCAGUGUGACAAUUCUAUGUAGAUCAUUAGAGUGUUACUCCUGGUGAUGAAGACCUCUUUCAGAGGAUCCAGCUUCAAAGUUGAAUGCUUGCACUUUCGAAAUGUGAAACUCAAUUCGAAAUGAGUCAGAGUCUUAAGGGACUAGGUCAAAUGGUUGUCCCAUUAAGGGAGGUAACAACAGUAAUGUAUACCACCCAAACUUGGAGAAUAAAGAAAGCUUUAUGGAUAAAAAGGAAUACACCAAAACAACUUUUGGAACUGUUCUUCAAGCUUAUGUCCCGCUGUCCCCAACCCUCCAUAUUUAGAAUUAAGGACAAAGGCUCUCUAGCGUCGUCAUAUCUCAUUUUCUGUUGCUGACUUUUCCUUGAGACUUGGCUUCUCUCCAGCCCGAACCUAGGUCAGCCUGAUUGGAAUUGCCUGGGUUUGAGGCUUAAGAGAUCUCAAGUGUAAAAAUAGGACUUGGAAAAAAGUGAGAAUGAAGAAAGUUCCACAGCCCGGUAAAGCACCAGUAGCAGGGAACGUCCUUUUCUACCUGGGAAAAAAAUCUCUUCACAGUGCAUAGUUUGAAAUAAAAGUGCAAUAUGGGCAAAAAGAGAAGGUGGUGCUCUCAAUACACAUGAAUUUAGUUUUUGGCUUUUGGCAUUAAUUGCUAAAGAAUUUAAGAUAAAAUGCAGUCGUUAACAUCAAGAGGUACAGGGGCACCUUUUUCCAAAAUAUCUUUAUAGAGAGGGAGGAGGGGAGUCUCACAUGUCACUUCCUUAUUUUUUAAACUAUUACUCUUCCAAAUCUAAUGUUUGAAUAAAAUAAGCAUUUUUCUUCAGUAUAAAAAUGACUUUUCUUAGAUAAAAAUCAAUCAGCACAGUGACCUUGUCUAUUUUACGCUAAAGCCAACGUAACAGUAAAUUUGAAAGGAAAACCUGGAAACAGAUUAUUUUUAAACUAAAUGGCAUCACUUGUAUUUUAACUGGAAAAAAAAAAUUGUUAAUUGCCUUACCACCUAGAUUAGUGAAUAAGAAUGCUCGGCAUCCAAUCCAUGAAUAAUGUAAAAUACGAUAUAAUUUAUUCUACUUUUUACUUCAAAGUCACAGAGAUGACAUCCAUACGAUAAUUAUAGAGCCUACUCUACAUUUUCAAGUUCUCAAUCCAAACAUAUACAUUAGGACAGGUCACUUUAUUGCUGGCAACAUUCAUGGAAGGGCCAGGUUCCUCAUUAAAAGACAAAGUUUGAUUGGGAGCUGGGCAGUGCUCUACUCACACAUCAGCAGAACAUGAAGAGGCAAUCCUUUUUUUUUUUUUUUUUUUCCUUUUCAAAAUA
Felis catus (domestic cat) is the source of this 4112-nucleotide long non-coding RNA. RefSeq lists it as uncharacterized. NCBI's taxonomy places the organism in Eukaryota, Metazoa, Chordata, Mammalia, Carnivora, Felidae. The transcript has 7 exons. The record is from RefSeq and is a predicted model, not a curated record.